This 322-nucleotide unclassified non-coding RNA is filed under the name plant metagenome. Its description in RNAcentral is "partial contains 5.8S ribosomal RNA, internal transcribed spacer 2, and large subunit ribosomal RNA". The stretch from base 1 to 105 matches the Rfam family "5.8S ribosomal RNA", at positions 50 to 154 of the family's 154-position model. The record is from RNAcentral.
GAAAUGCGAUAAGUAAUGUGAAUUGCAGAAUUCAGUGAAUCAUUGAAUCUUUGAACGCACAUUGCGCCUCCUGGUAUUCCGGGGGGCAUGCCUGUUCGAGCGUCAUUUCAACCCUCAAGCUCUGCUUGGUAUUGGGCUUUCGCGGGGGAGUGCAUCUCUCUGCGGGCCUUAAAGCUAUCGGCGGUAGUGCCCUGCUUCGAGCGUAGUAAAGUUUAUUCUCUCGCUUUGGAGGCUAGGGUUUUACUUGCCGGGAAAACCGGGCCUCGCGCUCACUUUUUAAGGUUGACCUCGGAUCAGGUAGGGAUACCCGCUGAACUUAAGC